Molecule: long non-coding RNA, 6595 nt
Organism: Drosophila yakuba
Lineage: Eukaryota; Metazoa; Arthropoda; Insecta; Diptera; Drosophilidae
Exons: 3
Source: RefSeq, a predicted model, not a curated record
CAGACAUUCUGUCUACUCAUUUACAAGGCUAUAGUAUUUUGAAAUUCCUCAGUUUCAUUCAUCAGCACAUCUCGCCGGCAAAGCCCCCCGUCAAAAGUAUCAUUAGAUUUUGGUUCCGUUUCUCACAGAAGAAGAACAUAUACGAGUAUACAUGGCAUUCCGGGCGUAGAAAAAAGGUUAUUCAUAAUCAUUUGUUACGCUUAAUUGUUGUCUUUGCGGUUUACCUCAUGGCUGCUUUUGUGUGCUGACCGCAAAUUGAUUUUAAAUUCAUUUCUCAGUCUCGGCCUGUGGGGCGGCAAAUAACAAAAGCCGGAACGGGUACUUUGGGUCUGAGAAUUUUUGAUUAUUGUCAUUAUUGAGGCACAACUAGAAAUGGAAACAUUUAAAAAUAGAUUGUGUGGAAACAAGAAUAUUUUUCCCACCAUGCAGCUCAACUGUGGCCUACAGCUUCCCCAGUUUAUGACUAUUUGCUGUUUAUUUUUGUGAAAUUUAAAUCCGCACGCGUUCUCUCCUUCGGCCUGGCUGGUUUAUUAUCCUUUUGCCGGCACUUUUUUAUGAGUUAAGCCAGACGCGGCUUAUCUAUGUGACAAUGCGGUAGGCACCACGAGCGAAAUGGUAAUGGUUUUCGGGGAGUGUGUGGCAACGCCUUUAUUGCCAGGCCUACCAACCCAACCACCCAGGAUAUACCGUCGCCCUUCGCUUCAUUCAUAAAUAAAUUAAAUAAAAAUAUUUUUUCAAGCCCGCAAGCCAUGCAACAAUAACAAAUAAGCGGAGCGGGGAUAAAGAACUCGACGAAACUCAACCGGCGGCAAGAAAUCUGCAUAAUGAAGCGUAAUACGCAAAUGGUGUGGAGUUGUGAUUGGACCGGAUUCCGCAAAUUGAGUGCAAAUCCGCGAAUCUGAGGUAGCUGAUGUGAAGGAACUUAAAGCCCCUGCAAGCCAAUACUUAAGUUUUUCGAGGAAUCAUAUCCGCAACAAGCGCAUGUUUCCAUAAUGGCCACUCAAAAUCACGUCCUUAGAAUCGAGCACCCCUGAAGUUAUUAAAAGAUUUGUGGCGCUCAGGGUAGAGGUCAUGGGGAACCACCCUAUAUGAAUGAAUCAACUCCGGAACUCCCACCAUUUCAAAUCCAUUGGCGAUAUUGGCCAGUCGGAUUCGGCACGCCUCUUUGGCAGCAUUUUGUUUGGGCGUGUUAAAAGUUAAAAUAAAUCAAACAGCCAUAAAUUUGCCGCUUUUGGCAAUAUGUGGGGAAUUCGAUACGUUCAUCAAAUGUAAAAGGGUUCAAGCGAUGCGUUUGCUAUCUAUCAAUAAAUGUCUCUAUAUGUGUGCGGACCAGACGCCCCCUCACAUAUUUUAUCGUCGGCAGGACAGCGCCAGGACCCAAACGAUACGCAUCCUUUUACCAAACUCUGUCUGUCUGUCUGCUUGUCUGUCUGGGCCGGAAAGAAUGGGUACGAGUAUCACCCAAAGUGGAGCAGCAGCUUAUGAAAAAUAUGGCGCAAAGGGGUUAAAUGACGUAUGCAUUGCAGCCAUUUCUCUUAUUCUCCGAGCCACUGACUCUUCAUUUGCCUGCCGAUGUCUUAGUUACCCAAAGCGGAAGCUCCAAAUUUAUCAUUGCCCCGACAGGACUGUGUUUGCAUUUUAUGAGUGGCCAAAAGGUUUCGAAAAUAUGUAUUUUUGGGCACACAAAAAAUGUGAUCAAUAACGCUUGAGGUGGAAUAGGACUCUCUCUGUGGGAAAACAAAUGUGCAGUCAUUUUCGGUUUUUGGGUGAGGGAAAGUUUGAUCUGGACUAAAGUGAAAUAGAAUGAUGGCUUAAGUGGAAAGGGAAAGGAUAGUAAACACUGCCUGCAAAAGCUCUGAUUAAGUCUGGUUUUCACUGGGACGGCAGAAUGUCGAAUCCCUGGACUAAACGAAAGUAAUUUGCUUCACCUCUCAACUGUGAGUUAUUUUUGGUCUGAUUAAUGCCGGGAAUCGGCAGAGAUAUUUCAUUUAAAUUAUACAUGAGCAGUAAAUAGAAAUACUCCCUUCGAGGGAAACAUGGACAGUCCCCAGAGCACUAGGAAGCCACUCCAAUAAAAUAUAUUGUACGAUUGUCUGAUUAUCAGCACAACCGCAAAACAAUUUAAUACUAAAACCCAAGUCACAUGACCAGGCACGCGUUCCAGUUCCAAUUUCCCAGUCCCAUUCCAAAGUUGUUGGGGGUUGGAGAACCACACUCAUAUGAUAAAUGCACAAAAUCUGCAACAAACUGUUGAAAACACGCGCUACAUCAGAUCAGAGAUCGAGGUCAGGGGUAGCAACAUGGUUUUAUGCGGCAUAUAGAAUUACAAUCUAAAUGCAAAAUGUGCACUCUUCCCUUUGACAAAUCGCCGGGAAGAGUCGAGUUACCCGCUCCGAAGAUCUAUAUUCCCUGAUUCCGAUUAGCAUUGUUGUAGGGCUCUGCCCACAAAUUUGUGCAUUUGCCCGACCAGGUGAAAGUCAAGCAACCCCCAACCAGUCAAAAACCUCAAUAACAAUAACUGACAAUGGAAAGGCAAGGACAUAAAUCUCCCUGGCCAACAAUGCGGGAAAAGGAUAAUUUCGAAAAACCAUUAAUGGCCCGCGCACAUUAACAUUCUGUUUUGACAGGCGGCAGUCAAAUGAGCGCAGGACACAUGGACACAUGGACACGGGAUCCCUGCAGGAAAUGCAAGCUGCAGGCCAAAAACCUCAGACAGAACCUCCUGCAACUGACAUUUACAUGAAAUAAAUAACCGAGAUCGAUGCCGUGUUCCAAGAAAUCGCUGUCACCAACCAGGAAGCAUUUAUCAUUGUUCGGAACUAAAAGAGGUUUGUUAUGCACAGUUAGUGAAGUGUGAACGGUUUGGUGGUUGAAGGUCAAGAGGGUAGUAAACCUUAUUUAUUAAAAAAAAAUAUUAUUAAAUAUGCUGCUUACCACUAUCAUAGAGAUGUAUUUACAUCCAUUAUUUUAUGAUACCUUUUAUGACAUAUUCAAAAACUCCAGAAAUGCUGGUAUACCCUUAAAAUUCUUGUGCCAUCGAUUAGAACUUUCAGCUCCCCUUUUGCAAAUGUCAAAAACAAGUGGUUGCGUUUCCAAUAUUUAUUUGCAGGACAGGAGCUUAGCAACCUUAAACAAAACGUCUAAUCAAAUCAGACUUUACCAGCAUCCGGGAAAACUUAAUCGCUUGAUGGGCUUAGGGUUGCCAGCGGGCUAAAUGCGCAACGCGCCUCCAUGAAAAUUGUCAACAUCAAAGGCAUUUCCCAGUUAAUAAAUGGGCAAUAGGAAAUGUUAUUUAUGGCAUUAUGCCAAUAAGACGCUGCCUAAUUUAGGAAGCGCGUGGCCAGAAAAAAAACCAAAUGGAAUACAACGAAAUACAGACACAGAUACGCGAUUGUAAAAUGCGAUUCAUUUUUAAUCCAAUUUGCAUAUGAAAUGACACAAAGCCCGCUAAAUGCAACCCUUAAUAAGUCACCAAGGGACCUUUUGGGCGGUGGUCGCUUUGCGAGCACUUGAAAAUUUUGUGUAAAUCCCCUCGCAACCCACCAACUCACCAAUCCACCAACUACCACUACCGCCACCCUUCGCAUUCACAAUUGUCAAGGUUGGGCUUUAUUUUAUUUCCGGGCAUUUCCUACUCAACUAUAAAUAUGUCAAAGUUUCUGGUUACCAUGGGCCAUUGGUUCAACUUCCACCCCGCUUCUGCUGACCGAAAAUUUUUAAGUAUUGUCAAUAUUAGUAAAUAUUAAAAUGUGUAAGGGUUGCUUUCAACCACCAUGCUCAAAUGCCAAAAUUUCUGUAAGCCGCAAGCAUUACAGGCACUGCCAAUUUUUCACUUGCCUAUGCAAUUUGUGUAAUUUUUUAUUAAAGACAUUAGUCAAAUAAGUGCAUACACACGGGGCCGAUCGCUUCUCAUAUGACGCCGCCGGGCAUUAAUCUGAAAUGGCAAACGCCCAUUCGCCAGGGAAACCGGAGCAGGAGCAGCAGCAGCAGCAGGAGGAGAAGGAGGAGGAGCACAUGCAGCAUCCAUUCGAGGACAACCCAAACCACCCACCCAAAAGCCAUUCAUUUUCGGGCGACCCACCGUGUGCGUCAUUUGUUACAUUUAUUAUACAUUUUAUAUUUUCUUUUUUUUUUUUGUACGUACUGUUGCUCUCAGUGUUUUCGAUCUAAACGGAUUUGGUUACCCGGCACUCACACUUUGGCCAUCGCCUGGGAGAAAAUUAAACUUUUCGCUUCGCUUUUGUGCGGGGCACAAAAACAUUUCAUGCACUUAUGACACCCACCCACCCAGCCAACCAACCACCCCCUGAAAAAACCAGCCAAACUUCCCCCUUUUUGGGCAAUGACUUUUCCGGACUCGGACCGAGCCCAGUUUUUAUUGCGGCCCUGCUUUAUAUUGGCUUCAUUUUUAGUUACUCAGCUGUUUCGGUUUCCUUUCUUUUUCCGAUUCAAUAUACUAUAUAUGUGUGUGGAUGAGAGAGAGAUGGAAGAGUUGCAACAGAAUGUUGCAGGGGUUAAUGUUGCCAUCGGGCUCGCUGUUAUUGUUGUCACGAUUUUCACAUAUUUCAUAAAUCCGACCAGAUUGCUAAUUUGUGCUCUAAAUUUGCACAAAUGCGGAAAUAUUUGGUUAGGGCUUUUGGUUUCCAUUUUUACCCAUCCGACCAACUCUGUCAUUAUGAAAUUUAUUGGUUUCUAUUUAUCAAAUUGGAUUUUUUGCUGCGGCUUAAAAGAUUGAAAGUUGGUCAAACAAACGGCGAAAUGACAAUUAUUUGGCAUCUGCUGAAGCUUAAUUCGAUUUAUGCUUUCCAUCCAGCGCUCUAUUUAUUCAUGUGAUUACUCGGUUCCAAGUUACUGCCUCUAACUUAUUAGGCUAAUUUCAACUCAUUCUUGUCACUUUUUCGAAGUCGAUUUUGAUUGAGGGUCUCCGUGACUGGUCGUACCUUGUGUGAUUAACUUAAUUUAACAGUUGCACGUAUCACAUUUAUUGGUUCUGUGGACACUCACUCAUGUGUGUACCCCAAUAAAAUAACGCCAUAACUAUAUCAACAAAUGCUGUCCCUACGAGUAUUUACCUUUGCCUUCGACAUCAAGUUGGACUAUUAAACUAAUUUCCAGUUGUCAUUGACGAGCACGCACAAGGCAACUUACUACUCCUCUCUUCCCAGCAUAUAAGUGUGUUUUUCAGAUCCAACUGAAGCACGCAUGGCAAAUGGGUAAACUUAAACUUCCCUCAAGGCUCGAGUUGUCGAGGAGUUCCGAUUUCUGCACUAGGCUACUGCAUCCUGUUUCCCCUUUCGACUUUUAUGCAAAUCAAGUUGACUGGUUGCAGGAUGUGCCAGGUAGCUGGCUCUACCUCUACAACUGCCUCGUAGGCAUUUCUGUGCAAAUUCCAUAUUUACUGCCAAUGUUAAUUGCUCCGAAUUGCACUAAAGUGUUGACUUUUGUGACGCACAGGAAACUGAAAGCUCGCCAUGAAAAGCCAGAAGUUGUGAUUCCAUCGGACACUCGACUGGACCAAGGAGUAAUUGGGCUGCACAUUCAAUUAUGCAUUGGCAGGCCAGAGCUGCUGGCUGAGAAGAGUUUAAAAAUUGAACUUUUUGUGAAAACUGAGCCUUCAGGGGCUUAAAAACUCGGUUUUCACUCUCACUCACUCUCAAUCAACGCAUAAAAUAAAAAGAAAAUAAAUAGGUUUCUGUUCUUGCAACCGCUCUACGCUCACUUACCAUUUUUCCAGGGAAUCAUUUGCUCCUCCAGGCAGCAACAUAUGCCGGAUUAAGGAUAUCCUUCGAGCUCGUCUUGGCACACAUGGCAUACAUCUCCCUCCUUUCCCUUUACCAUUUCAUUGUCAUUCUCAUUGUCAAAUGCCGCCUUAGUCUCGUCUUACGUGCUGUGUUAAUUAUACUAAUUGCACUAAAUCACUUGAAAAUUUCGAAAAGAGCUGGCAGAGUUCCGUAAAAAAUAGAAACUGAAAUUAGGGCGUAGCACAUUUCACCUAUCUUCCAUCUUCCAUAUGGGGACUUAACGAAUGUCAACGCAGCCUGUGGGAAAAUGCCUUUUGGAAGUGCUGGUGUGUAAUCCUAGCCAUCCUGGCAUGUGGUAUUCGAGAAUAAAUUGGAGAAUCAACGCCUAUGGGCGGGUUAAUACUGGCAAAAUACCAUAAUAUAAUAAGCCCAGUCCUUUUCAUGUAAACGUAAUUAAUGGGUAAAGACGCUUCAAGUUGGGAGUGAAGUUACAAAGAUGUAUGUAUACCAGAUGAAAAUCACGACGUAAGAGACUUUAAAAAGAAGACCUUUGCGAGAUUCAUCUACUUCAGGGAGUCACCACCUACCAGCCAUCAUUUUACCCCUUGGUGAUGCAUAUGUACAGCAUAAAAUACCUCAGAGAUACUUUAUCUUAAGAUGCAAGCGAAAAUUUGCUUUUAGCAAAUUGUUUCAGUGAACUUUGAACUCAUUAAAAGCAUUUAAAAUUGAACUACUCACUUAAAUCGUAAUGAUCUUUGGUUAGUAAUCGAUAAACUAAGACACAACCAUUAAUCAACGAAUUACACCAAAUUUAAUUACAGUUUAAUUGCACUUUAAAAUUGCAAUUACAUUUU